Molecule: Y RNA, 102 nt
Organism: Callithrix jacchus (white-tufted-ear marmoset)
Lineage: Eukaryota; Metazoa; Chordata; Mammalia; Primates; Cebidae
Rfam family: Y RNA
About the family: Y RNAs are components of the Ro ribonucleoprotein particle (Ro RNP), in association with Ro60 and La proteins.
Source: Ensembl
UCCUGAUCCAAGCGCAGUGGUGUUUAUCACUAACUAAUCACAACCACUUACAGAUUUCUUCAUUCAUUCUCCACUCCCACUGCUUCACUUGACUAGCUUAAA